RNAcentral lists this ribosomal RNA (253 nucleotides) under uncultured bacterium. RNAcentral describes it as "partial 16S ribosomal RNA". It matches the Rfam family "Bacterial small subunit ribosomal RNA", at positions 524 to 776 of the family's 1533-position model. The record is from RNAcentral.
UACGUAGGGGGCAAGCGUUAUCCGGAUUUACUGGGUGUAAAGGGAGCGUAGACGGCUUUGCAAGCCAGAUGUGAAAGCCCGGGGCUCGACCUCGGGACUGCAUUUGGAACUGUAUGGCUGGAGUGUCGGAGAGGCAGGCGGAAUUCCUAGUGUAGCGGUGAAAUGCGUAGAUAUUAGGAGGAACACCAGUGGCGAAGGCGGCCUGCUGGACGAUGACUGACGUUGAGGCUCGAAAGCGUGGGGAGCAAACAGG